UCCCUGGAGGACUAGCGGUUAGGCCCUUGCGCUCUCACCGCCUCAGUCCGGGUUCAAUUCCCAGCCAGGGAG
Molecule: non-coding RNA, 72 nt
Organism: Pangasius djambal
Lineage: Eukaryota; Metazoa; Chordata; Actinopteri; Siluriformes; Pangasiidae
Source: the annotation of a GenBank genome assembly